GCCGGGCAUGGUGGCUCACGCCUGUAAUCCCAGCACUUUGGGAGGCAGAGGUGGGUGGAUCACCUGAGGUCAGGAGUUCGUGACCAUCCUGGCCAACAUGGUGAAACCCCAUCUCUA
This 117-nucleotide non-coding RNA is filed under the name Macaca nemestrina (pig-tailed macaque). RNAcentral also lists the same sequence under 1 other name. Lineage: Eukaryota; Metazoa; Chordata; Mammalia; Primates; Cercopithecidae. The record is from Rfam by way of RNAcentral.